UGAGUACGAGACGCUAAGGCGUCGAAGUAGUGGAUGUCAUACUUCCAAGAAAAGCUUGCACUGUCAUAAAUAAAAACGCCUGUACCAUAACCGACACAGGUGGGUAGGUAGAGUAUACUAAGGGGCGCGAGAUAACUCUCUCUAAGGAACUCGGCAAAAUAACUCCGUAACUUCGGGAGAAGGAGUGCCUUAUUCGUAAGGCUGCAAUAACAAGAUCCAAGCAACUGUUUAUCAAAAACACAGGUCUCCGCUAAGUCGUAAGACAAUGUAUGGGGGCUGACGCCUGCCCAGUGCCAGAAGGUUAAAGAAGUCGGUUAGCAUUAGCGAAGCUGGUAACUGAAGCCCUGGUGAACGGCGGCCGUAACUAUAACGGUCCUAAGGUAGCGAAAUUCCUUGUCGGGUAAGUUCCGACCCGCACGAAAGGCGUAAUGAUUUGGAUACUGUCUCGGAGAGGGGCUCGGUGAAAUAGACUUGUCUGUGAAGAUGCGGACUACCUGCACCAGGACAGAAAGACCCUAUGAAGCUUUACUGUAACUUGAAAUUGAAAUUGGACUUUAUUCGCGCAGUAUAGGUGGGAGGUGUUGAUUAUAAUCUUGCGGGAUUAUUGGAGCCAUCAGUGAGAUACCACUCUUGUAAUGUUAGAUUUCUAACUUUGAAUCAUUAUCUGGUCAAAGAACAGUUUCAGGCGGGCAGUUUGACUGGGGCGGUCGCCUCCUAAAUGGUAACGGAGGCGUACAAAGGUUUCCUCUGAACGGGUAGAAAUCGUAUCUAGAGUGUAAAGGCAUAAGGAAGCUUGACUGUGAGACCUACAAGUCGAGCAGGGACGAAAGUCGGUCUUAGUGAUCUGACGGUACUGAGUGGAAAGGCCGUCACUCAACGGAUAAAAGUUACUCUAGGAUAACAGGCUGAUCUCCCCCAAGAGUUCACAUCGACGGGGAGGUUUGGCACCUCGAUGUCGGCUCAUCGCAUCCUGGGGCGGUAGUACGUCCCAAGGGUUGGGCUGUUCGCCCAUGAAAGCGGUACGCGAGCUGGGUUCAGAACGUCGUGAGACAGUUCGGUCCAUAUCCGGUGUAGGCGUUAGAAUAUUGAGAGGAGCUUUCUUUAGUACGAGAGGACCGAGAAGGACAUACCUCUGGUGUACCAGUUAUCGUGCCAACGGUAAACGCUGGGUAGCUAUGUAUGGAGUGGAUAACCGCUGAAAGCAUCUAAGUGGGAAGCCCACCUCAAGAUAAGUAUUCUCAUC
Molecule: ribosomal RNA, 1243 nt
Filed under: metagenome
Description: bacterial LSU rRNA
Rfam family: Bacterial large subunit ribosomal RNA
Source: RNAcentral